AAAUAAGUUAAGACAAGUCGUAACAAAGUAAGACUACUGGAAAGUAGUAUUAGUAA
Molecule: ribosomal RNA, 56 nt
Filed under: Bemisia sp. PB-2004
Lineage: Eukaryota; Metazoa; Arthropoda; Insecta; Hemiptera; Aleyrodidae
Description: partial small subunit ribosomal RNA
Source: RNAcentral